AAGCAAGCUGCUGAAUCAAUUUAUUUCAUUUUAGCACUCUGGGGAAUACAGUGGGGAGUCAAAAAUAACCAGUCCUCACAAUUGCUACCAGUUAGCAAAGGGCAAAAUCCAAGGGUCCCUCGGACACCAGUGCACCCAGGCAAGACAGUUCACAGUGGGUAAAGCCACUUGCCAAACAGUCUGAUGGCCUCAGUUUAAGCUCCAAAACCCAUUUACUGGGGAGAGAACUGAUUCCUACAAGUUGCUCUCUGACCUCCAUAUAUGUAUGCACCAUUGUCUGUGUGAUAGACAUAUAUCAACAAGAACCAAUCAAUGUAAUUUUUAAAGUAAGCCAUCUUUGUUUCAGAUGUAUAAAUAUCCCAGCUGUGGCCUAUCUCCUCUUCUACGAAGGCCCGCUGCAGCGACUUUCAGGAGUUCUCAUUCGAUGAGCAAAGGAGAGAGAAUGUACAGCAUUUGAACCCCAUUUCCAUACAUGCAGAAUGCCUCAUUGCGUGAGUUGUACUGAGACGUAUUUAUCAAUAUAAAAGCAAAAAUGGCCCGGUACUCAUCUUCCCAGAGUCCUUUGCAACUAAGACAUGAGUACAUGACGCAGCAUUACACCAAGCAGGAAUCUGGAGUCACAGGCUCAGUUUUCCUUGAAAUGAGGCAGUUUGGAACCAGUGGUCAAGAACUUCAUGUGACCAUGGAAAUGCAGACCGAGACAAGCAGAGAUUUAUGCUCAGCUGUGAGCCACCAACACUGCUGAAGAGCUGCACUCCUCAGCACAGGGCACUGCAGCAUCUUCACUUCCAAGGGAAGGGUGCGUAUGGGAUGCUUCUACACUCAUACUGGCUUGUGGACUGUUGCUGCCGCUAUCUCAUCCACACAGACAACACUGGGGUGGUCCAUGUGACAUGGAGUGCCUACUGUCAAUCAUCCAGGGAUGAGGCAGAUCUCAGUAAAUCAGCACUGGCACAGGAAGACAGACUCAAUGAAAACCGGCAAUCAGGCUUUCGAGGAGGGGUUUGAGUUCCUACAGACGACCCAUCAUCCUGUAACCUGUAGAUGCCCUUUCUUGAUGGUUCUGCCAGCAACCAGCUGCAAGUACAGUUCUUUUUUAAAUGACUGAUUCUCCCACAUCUGACUCUUUUAGUUCUGUGCAUUUUCCUUUGUUUUUUCCUACUUGUUAUAUGAUACCAGACACCAUUCUGAUGUUAUUGGACCGACAAUACAUUCACAUUGUGUUAGUUGUCUGAACGCCAUAAAGAUUUUCGGAUAUGGAGCACUACACAAGCCCUAUUAGCCAGGACCCAUUGAGCUUAUCAUCUAAAGCAGGUUCAAAAAAAUUAUACCAGAAGAGCAAGGGCGGCUAGGACCACAUGACCCGCAUGGUCAACCAGUACACUAAAAUACCCACACACCAUUCUCCGCAGCAGAAGCCGGGGAAACUAUUGUAAAGAGCAUAGUGUCUAUCUUGGGGGCUGCGAGGCUCCUGCACAGGCAGGAAAUUCGAAGAGCCACUCUAGAAAGUAAAGAAAAGCUGCAGUCUCUCCACAGUACUGAACGCCAACGGUGUUUCCAGCGGACCCAGCUGACCACUGCCCUGCCCACCCUGGGCUAUACGUGGUUUGUACAUGUAAAGUCUACCCGCGCAUGUCACCGUCUGUCUGUGCUUCUCUUCUGGUUUGUCUGCCACCACCCUGGUCCAGCCUACACUUCCUCCCCAACCUGUGAGCUUUCUUUCUUUCCUCUUCUUUCCUUAUUUUACUCCCAUCGCCGAGUCGCCAAAACCAGACCUCCCGUGAGGAGCUGAAGCCAAGCGAGUGCAUGGUUUUCCAGUUUAUUUUAUGACCUGACUCAAAAGAAUGAAAAAUCUGUUUCCACACAGUAAACAACAUUCAAAAUUCUCUGAACCAAGAUGCCAUAGCCUUUGGGGGGAACAGUACGUAACACCCCUUUCCUGAAACUUCUUUCCCUGUAGAUCUUGGUGAAGGACCAGCUGUAAGUCUUACUCACUGGUGAAUUGUCAGCACCUUGCAGAACACCUAGUACCAAACACCCACUUAACACCCGCUGAGUAAAUGACAAUCGAGGGGCUAUGGCUCAGUAGAGUUUUCCCUUAACUUCAAUUCCUCAAGAUCUUUACCCUGUCUAAUAUCCGAUCUCCCAAAGCAUUCCCAGCUGGAGAGCUGGUUCAGAGGGUAAAAAAACGUUUGGCUUCAAGUGUUGGGACCAAAGUUUGAAAUCCCUGCACACACAUACACACUCACUAACACACACACACACACUAACACACACACACACUUGCGCACGAGCAUGCAAAAGCAACCCCAUUAUGCUAGCUGUUAGAAGACAGUCAAAAUCCCAAAUCGAAUCCCCAUUCACUUGAUAGCCCUGUGACCUUGAUUACGCCGUCUAACUACAUUCUAAGAUUACUUUUCUUAUCAAUAAACGAGAUCCAGCUUGCAAGGCUCUACGGUACUUGUGUGAGAUUUAUAAACAACUUAUGUAAAACCUUGCUGAAUGAAAUUAUCUGCCAUUCUAUUCUGCAUCUCCAGAACAAAAUGUAACUAUCAAAAUCUAAUUUGCCAAAGCUGGAGUUCAUUUAUGGAGCAGAUAUGCAUCAAGCGCUGGCAAUAUACAAUCUGAGUCGGCCUGCUGUUCAACAUGAAAGGAAUAGUUUAACUUCUGCCUUUAAGGGCAGGAAAACAAUUAGUUCACAUGGACAGGAGAAAGUGUAUAAUCUGAUCUUAUUUUCUUUUUAUUGAAGCAUUAAAGGAUUACCCAGUUACAGCAGGCUGGAGUGGUUUUUUUGUUUUUGUUUUGUUGUUUUUUAUAACAGGAAUCAAACAAUGGAGGAAAGCAUCCAAAUAGUGGUUUUUAUAGUCCACAAGUAUUGACAGUUCUGUCUGUCUGUCUGUCGGUCGGUCGGUCGGUCUGUCUGUGCGUGUGUAUGCUUGCGUAUAUGUACAUGUGUGUGACUGUGUGUGUUGCUCAUCAUUGAGGGUCGUCCUCUACCACUCCCCACGUACUUAUUGAGACAGGGUCUCUACUGAAUGUGCAGCUCACUGAUUGGCUAGACUGGCCAGUGAGUUCAGGGGUCCUCCUAGCUCUUCUCCAAGGGCUCAGGUCCACAGGCCUGCACCACCACACCACUUUCAUAUGAGUGCUAAGGGGUCGGAACUUGCUUUUUUCCCCACAGUCAAGGAUGCAUACGUAAGAUAAGGUUUUUGCUUUAAAAGAGCAAAAAUGACGCUGCUGCAGAGUGUUAAAAUAAGAUUUGUUCUACAUAGUGAGUCCAUCCAAUGGUCUGCUUUGUCCAAUAAUCCAUCCUAGAAAAAUCUCAACAUGAAGAAAUGUGAUCUUUGUGCAAACUGAAAUCUAUGGGAGAAAGGAACUUUGGCGCUGGCCGCUGGCAGUUGAGUUGAUUUGCUCAGUUGAGUUGUUUCAUGGUGGGGAAACGGCCAUGUUUUCUGAGGCCCACUCUCACAUUGCUUCUCUCCUUGGGGCCCUCAGCGACCCAUGGGAGUUAGAAGCUUCUUGUCUUCUAUUUCCAGAACCCCUGAGCUCAGAGAGCUAUAUAAAGUCCCCUUCCCCUUCCCCUUCCCCUUCCCCUUCCCCUUCCCCAACGGCAGCACGGACAAGCUAGAGCCCUCCCCUGAGGCUACUUCCUGUCUCGGCUCACUGCCAAUCCCUUGGUAGGUAUAGGAAACUCGACGGUCUCCAAAGCCCCAAGAACACUGAGCAAAGUAGCAUUUUCCAUUCUCAUAAAAGCCACCGCUUCCUGUUCUCCUAGGACAUUCAGAGCAAAAAGCAGAGUCUCAAAGGUGUGCUGUGCUGAGGGAGACAUAGAAGCUAUGAGACAGCCAAAAUUUGGUCUUCAAAACAGCUGGGGGGGGGGGUAAUCCGAGGCACAGCAUGGCACACAACAUUGUUACAUCCCAGCCUAGAAGCUAGUGCCCAUGGACCACUGAAAGGUACAUAAGUAAAAGUGGUUUCCAUCUAGAUAAGGCACUUCUUCCCCUAAAAUCCUAAUGAGCCAGGUAUACAGACCCAUUCCCACAGCCUGAAUCACACAAACUAAUACUGAUCCUACUUGAAAAAUGUAUGACCUCACUUCAUACAUAGUCAUAUAUGUAUGUGUGUCAGGAAUUAAUUGCACUUAGUUUAUCAAUUUCAUGUUUAAAUUACCCCCCACUAUGCACACACUCACACAGUAGUGGACAUGAUACGCUUAAGAAAAUACCAAGAGACAUGAGAGUUUAAUAGGACAGAGAUGGUCUAUUCCUGACUUAGUGCAGAGGGAAUGAGUCUAUGAAUGCUACUUGAUUUGCAGCGGAAUGUCUCACUGAAGAACAUCCUGUGUGCUACUUGUUGGGUGGUCCAUGCUAAACAAAUGUUACUUGGUGUCUGAAUUUGAAACCCAUACUUUAUGGACUUUAUGAAUAAUGGACUCCUAACCUAAUACCUGGCAUUUAAUAGUGGGUACAACAAAUAUUUGCUUACAAAUUCACUGAAAGUUGAGAAAUCAUGCAAGGUCUAUACCACCUUUUACUUCUCUGUCUAAUGCCGAUUGCGAGUUGCUCCAUGAGAAAAUUACGUCGCACCACUCACCAAAUAUUCCUUGGCUGCCAUUGCUUUAUCGCAGACAGCUGGUGUGUUUGGAGAGAGAAAUGCACUGGUAGACUUGUAACAUGUUCAGAAAUACCACUUAGGGUAGCAGAGCGGAAGCACAUGAUGAAGGGACUGCAGAAGAUGCUAAAGAAAUAGACAUGUGCCACACACACACAGUGACCGAGUUCUGACCGCAUACUUAGUCCCGCAAGCCUCCUGGUGAGAAUGUGUCUUGUUAUGGUAAACACGGUAGAGGUUUUAGAAUAUAAAUCCUACUCUCAAUAAAGUAGCAGCUCCCAUAAUUAUUCUUCUUUCUGAAGGCCAGGGCAGCCUUCAAGUAAACAGAGGCUGAGAUCCAACUGUUUCCCUUGCACUAAAAAUGAUAUCAUAGUUAAUGUUUGUUAAAAUGGGCAUUGUUUGUAGCUUCAUGGGAAAUACAGGUUCUUAGACAAUGCGUAGCACAUACUGUUAUAUUAUUAUUAACAUAAAAUAGACAUAUAUGUAUUAAAUAGGAUAGCAGAACAACUUUGUUUUUGCUUCUUUUCAAAGAGCCCAUGGCAACUUUUUUGAGCAUGUCUCCAUCUGUCACCAAGACAGGCUCCUUCUCCAGUAAUUAAGUCAAAUAUUGAAACCAAGAAGACCUUCCUCUGUCUUGGGUUUGUUGUUGUUUUCUUUCUUUGACUCUUUGAGUCUGCUCUACUUAGUCCAGGCUCGGCCUCACUCCCAGACCUCCUGACUCAGCCUCGGACAGAGGACUGGGACUACAGGAAUGCCAUCAUGUUCAACUAGACAAGAAAGGCAUUGAAAACAGAUCUGUGGGCAAGAUGGCUUAGUGGGUAAAGAUGUCUGCCACCAAGUCUGAUGACCUGAGUUCGAUCCCUGAGGUGCACACAACGGAAAGAGAAAACCAACUCUCCGAAGGUGUCCUCUUAGUUCCACAUGUUUCCCACGCACACGCAUUUCCCAGCCCUCCAUCCUGCCACAUACAUAAUAAUAAAAAGUAAUUUUAAAAAUUCCUCAAAAAUAAAAUACAUGUAAUUAACAAAUGCUAUAAAAGAAGAGAUUUGGGUGAUGGUAGUGGUAGUUUGGUUUCUUUUUUUUUUUUUUUUUUUUUGAGACAGGGUUUCUCUGUGUCAUCCUGGAUGUCCUGUAAUUCACUCUGUAGACCUAGCUGGCCUUGAACUCAGAGAUUUACCUGCCUCUGCCUCCUGAGUGCUAGGAUUAAAGGCAUGUGCCAUCCUACAAACCCACUCCCACCACCCAAUCUGAAGGGUUUUUUUUUUUUUAAGUGGGAGGUUUGUUUAGGCUGUUUAAUUCCCCCUAAAAGAACUGGCCAUAUGCUUAAUUACCUCUUAUAGUUUCCAAAGUAGUCUCAAGAAGAUGCUUAUGACAUUAAUACAUUUAAAAAUUAACAGCCCCUCCCCCACCCUGCUCACUUCCCGUUAACCUCUUUGCAAGUAGUCCUAGGCCUGGCUUCAUGAGUUGUACCUCUCUGGAUGGAAGCCUUCGUGUUCUUGCUGCUUUGAUUGGUAGCUUUUGUUUUUAAUCUAAGAGUAAUUGCAAACAUGCUGUCAUGCAUACCAUGUCCCUUCAUGUCACCAAGCUUAGUACUAAGCAGGACUCUUCUGGCACAGUUCCUCUGGUACCACAAGGGAUGUCUUUAGCUUGCCACUAUGAACCCAAGUCCACAGAUACUUUGCCUCUACAAAAUAGAAUAAAACUUUCACAACAAUAUCACAAUGUGUCCCAAAGGGGAGUAUUUUGGAACAAGGGAAGGAAAAUUAUUUCACAAGAGACUGUAUUGGGUUUUAAAGAAAUGCUAAGUUCUUUGGGGGAUGGUGUAAGUGCCUUGCUUUCUGGGAACAGCAUCUUCUAACAAAAACACCACUGCAAAGGCCUAGAGCCUAAAACUCAGAAAAUUAAUUUUUUUUGUCUUUUCAUUCCAUUUCUACAGAUGAAUUGGUGCCUCCUUCCAACACAAUCCUCUUUUGAAUAUUCUUCCAUGAUAGAAUAAAAAUACAACACAAAGGGAUUCCUUUUAAAAUUAAUAUGUAAUUAUAAGACAAUAUUCAACUAAAUAAAUUCCUAUAAUUUUCCAACAAUAUUAUUUCACUACUGCAAAUAUUUCACUUUAGCAAAAAAAAAAAAAAGCAUUUCUGUGAAAAUUUUCAAAGUUCUUAUUUUCUGAUAGAUUUAUAUUUAGAAAUUUGAAAAUAAUUAUAAUUAGAAAUUACAUUCAUGAAUAUAUACAACAUAUGGGCAUAUAUACAUGAAAAUAUUUUAAUACACGUAUUUAAGUAAGCCUCAUAAUUAACAGUCUUACCUUAUCAUCAUUACUUAAGGCAAUACACAAUUUAAUAAUAAAGUUUAUAGUAAACAUAAUAAAACCUAUGAUGUUUGAUUUUACAUAUGAGGCUACUCUUUUUUAAAGAUUCUUUUUCACUCUUGCUCUCUUGCCUUCUUGCUCCAGCUCUGUCCCCUCGCCCCUUCCUCCCCUGCCAUUUCCUCCCUCCCCCUACCCCACAUUGGUUCAUGGCCUCUACUCUUCUACUCUGAGCAAGAUGGCUCACCUAGUAAAAGCUAUUGCUGGGCAAACCUGAGAAUCUGGGUUCACGCCCUGGAUCACACAGUCACAGAGAUGAACCCAUGCCCAAAAUUGUCCUCUGACUUCUACACAUGUGCAGGAGCACACGCAUGCCUGCACUGACACAUACAUGUCUCAUACAUAUGCCUGUUUUGUAUAGGUGUACAUGCAUGUCUAUAAAACACAAAAGAAAUGAGACAACGCAGACCGUCUAGACCCUAAUCACUUGAAAGUUUCUUUUUAAAAGUCUCCUGAGACCCUUCCCAACUAAAAGUCCAUUAAAAGCAAAUAAAAUUGACUAUGCCAUGAAUAAAACCAGAAAAGCCACAGACCCGCCUCACCGUUCCGAGAAGUAGCGCAGAACGUUAAAAUGCAGUGACUGAACAAUGACUUUGCUUUCUCCAGAUUUUUGGUAUAAAGUUCAAAAGGCAAGCUCUCUCUUCCCACAGAGUCUGCUAAUUAAUAACAAUCAUGCAAGGAGGUCAGACAGUCCAAAUAUAAGUACAAAUUCUGUAGAGGGGAAAAAUUUUAAAUUCCAAGUCAAAUGAGAAAUUAUAAAUCAGAAUGGCCCUGCCGAUUCUCAGAGUAUUUCUGCAUAAUAAAAAGUGUGGUUUCACUGGAUGUGAAAUAAUGAUGUGCACACGCUAAUUCUGUUCUCGAUUAGGGUCUAGACGCAGACCUAACAGGGCUUUCUAAGUCUAGGUAGCAUUUGAUCCAUUAUCCUAUCAACGUUCCUUAAGCAGGAACUCUCAAGGACUCUUGGCAACUGAUCAUUUUACAAAAACAUCCCUCUUUCUCGGGAUCUGCACGUCUAACCAUACUGCGCUUGGGAUAGGAGAGAAGGUCUUCUGAAAUCACCCUUGACAAUCAAUCCCCUUCCAAGUGAGCAUCCCAUGAACACAGACGGCUACAAACGGCAGUGAGCGGCAGCCACCUAAACAAAACAAUGGAGGCUUUCGAAACGUUCUUUGGGCGCAUGCGUCUGAGCACCCUUCACUUCUAUGGGUGUGAAAAGGACAGCCUUCGAUGUUUUCUGUGAAAACAGGAAACACAAAAAUUCUGCAUGAUUCACCUCUCUUAGAGCCAGUGAGACAGCUCAGUAGGUGAGAAUGCUUGACACUAUGCCUGGUGACCUGAGGCCACUCCCCAGGAUACACAUAGUGGGAGAAGAAAAACAACCUCCACAAGUUGUCCUCUGACCAACACACGUAUGCUGUGGCACAUGUGCAUGUACAUACAUACAUACAACAAACAAUGUAAAAAAUCUAUGAUCGGGGGCUGGUGAGAUGGCUCAGCGGGUAAGAGCACUGACUGCUCUUCCAAAGGUCCUGAGUUCAAAUCCCAGCAGUCACAUGGUGGCUCACAACCAUCUGCAAUGAGAUCCGAUGCCCUCUUCUGGUGUGUCUGAAGACAGCUACAGUGUACUUACAUAUAACAAUAAAUAAAUCUAAAAAAAAAAAUUUACGAUCACUUAACAUGUAAGUUAGUUCUCCAGCAACUGUACAGGGAGAUAUAUAAGUAAUAACACAUUAGCAUAGCAUACAGAAGCCACAAGUAACCUACGGCCUAAAGUCUGUGCCCUCCUCUGGCGCUCCCAUUCAAGCCUUGCAUCAGAUGACCUAAGAAGCAUAAUAAAUGCAGGUAUGAGCCACAAGCCCCUGAGAAAUCAGUGGACCAGAAAGAGACAGAAAGCACCAUUACAGUAGAAGCAUCAACAACCAAACAGCAGCCAUUCCCUAAAUAUCAACGUAAGCAUCAUUUAUAUUACUGUCAACAUGGUAGUCAAUAUCUAUGUAUUAUUGAUUCUUAUGUCAGAUUGUUCUCCGCAUGCUUUCAGCACGGGAAUUCUACACAGAUGGGCAUGGGCGACUGCGCAUGCCAGUCUGCUGGACUUCUUGUUUCACCUCAUGAAACGCAGGUUCCUGCUGCAGCAGCCAUGAAUGUGGCAAGGGAACUUUCAGAGCACAGCCCAUUUGGUUUGUGCGUGGUUCCACUCUUAGAAACACUAGCUCGUCACAAAGGACUGCACCCAGGCAGAAGCCAGCUACCUAAGGACAGCUAGAACAUGCACAGCCCAAGCCUCAGGCACCCACCAGCCACCUAAGGUUCCCACAUGUGGUCGGCCACGCCCAUCCACACCUGGUGUUCUAACUUUCCAUGUAAUUUCUGAUAGCCCAUUGUCCCCUAAUUGACAAUAACCCACAAGUUCCAACACUUCAAGGCACAGGCUCAUUAUACAUGGCAGGCGAUAAAACAAGAGGAGCACACUCGCUUAUUGUAUUAUUUAUUUCUUAACUCACUUACUUAAAAUACUCAUACAAUUUUCUAAGCACUGUGACCAAACCCUAUAAGCACUGUGGGAUUUUCAUAGGAUGUGUUUUUUAGAGCAACAUGUAAUAAUGUUUGUGACCAAAGCCAACUACAUAUAUGAAUAUGUGUGGCCUAUCCAGGGAGAUUAAAUUAUGACUCAUCUUUUAUCAUAUUUAAGUGAUCACCAAGGUACCAUCAUUUUUUUAAGGAUUUCAAUUUCUAGUGUUCAUAGUUACUAAGAAUACUUACAGGUUAGCUAUGUGGAAAAUUUACUUGUGAGAAAUCCCCUAAUAAUGUUAAGACAGAUGAGGUGUUGAUGAGCCGUCAACACUUCAUUCUGAGCAAAGCACUAUGAAAAUGGCAUUGCAGACUCCAGCUGACCACACUGCUCGGCUGUGAUCACUAGGAAGGAGAGCCAAAAAGGCCAAAAGGGCUAAGUUCUCAUUCCUCAAAAAUCAAUACACACUUUUAAAGAAUGAAUUUUCUUUAAAAGUUUUCAAAACACACACAAAAGGAUAUAUACGAAAAGAAGUUUUAAAAUAAUUUUUAAAUUUAAAUAAACAAAAAAUUACAUAACAUUUUAAACAAGUUAAAAAUGUAAAUAUACAAAAAAGAAGAACUUUUAAAAAUACGUAAACUGCAGACUGAGGUGGGAAAAUAUCUUAAGGAAAAGCAAGCAAGAAAAAACACACUCAAAAAAUCAUCCCCAUGUUGCUUAAAGUAUUAUGCCUAGAAAAAAAAAUCAGAAGGAAAAAAUAUCACAUCUGAAAACAUGCUGGCUACAGAGAGCAGAACUGGAACAAAGUGACUUUUAUUUUCUUCAAAUUUGGGGGAAAUUCUCCUUUGACGCCCAUUUUUAUGUUACCCGUGAGAGCAGCCAUGACCAAGGAGCACAGAGAGCUUCCUUGUCGUGGAAAGUCAAGCUCCCCACCCAGCUGGGAGGCCAGACCCUUCCAAGCCUUUUCUACUUCACUGUCAAAGUCAAAUAUAGUCCCAACAGGGGUGUUUAAAGUGCAUAAAGCCUCUACAGAGGCCGAAACGUAAUCUGCUUUUACUGGCUACGACAGUCAGGGACUUGGAAAAGUCCAGAUGAAGGAUUCUUUUUCAGCUUGGAUAUUACUAUUUACCAUACCCAAGCUGUCUGAGUGCCCAAAAUUUUGUCCUGAAUAAAGACAUUGUCUUCUGGAUAGACUGCCUUCAAAUAAGGUCAAGAUGAGACAGACACAGGCAAGGAAGGAUGGAGGGAGGCAAACCUAAAGCUUUAAGCAGGAGAAAAGAGAGGUUGGUCACUAUAACUAACUCAUUACAACAAGUUCCGAGGAACUUGGCUACAUUGACAUUUUCUCCACAAAAAUUUUGAAACAUUUUGGAAACAGUCUCAACUUGAACUCAAGACCUUCCAGCUUCAGGUUCUCAGAUUCCGGGAUGUGCUUGUCCCACCACAUUCGGCUAAUGCCAAAAUAAUCCAUAUGCCCUAGACAGUGACCUUUUAGUCAUGAGUGUGGAAGCUUAAUCCCACAUCACGCCCUCAUUGUAACAACUAUCUGGGGCAUCUGCCACGCCUGUGGUGACUUCCCUCACCUGUGACUGCAUCAUUUUUCUAGCUCUCCUGUUUGGGGGGGGGGGGGGGAAUACUUGGUCCCAGGCAGUUCUUUCACAGUGACUCUUCAUCCUUAAGAAAGUGCUGAUGAUUAAGAGGUAGUAGCCACACCACACCCCCAGGCUAGGGAAUCCCUUUAAGUUAGGAGGUAGCAGCUGGGAGGGGCAGAGCCAUGGCACUCGGGAACUCACAAUGACCCUGGUUACCAGCACCGACUAAGCCAGUCAAAAUUCCAGCGCUGACAGGCAGAGGGCUCACGAGGCCCCGCCCCUGGCUGAGAAGCUACAGAGGAAGGGUGGUCAGUUUUCUUCAGUAAGGUAGGAACUGGUAAGUUGCCCACGCUCCAGAAGAUAAGCCUACGCUACACUCAUUGCAAAGAGCCCUGGUUAAACGUGAAUGGCCGUGGACAGAGACAGAGAGAUGUGAGCGUAGACAGCGCACUGGAAGGGGAGAGGCAUCAAGAGUUGCCUCACAAGGGACGGGGCGGAUAAAGGAAGGCAGCUGGGAGAGACUAAAAAACACAGGCAAAACUGUCAAAGAAUACACUUGAAAAAUAUUUUUUAAAGAUAUUGAUUGUGUUUGGUGUUUUUUUGUUUUGUUUUGUUUUUACAAACUUACAGAGCAUUUUUAAAGGGCGCUUACAUAAUUAAUAAUCAAGUCCUUGCUGUGGAAAGCAUAUAGCAGGCAUUCCUUGCUUUGUUUUAAAACGAACAUAAAACCUUUAUAUUUCAGACUUUUGUUUUUAAAAGUAUUUUUCAAGGAUUCCUCUGUUGAAUUAUUGGCUUCAUGUUUAGUUUAUGUUAAAAAAAAGAGUUGUAAAGCACAUAUUUUGAUUAUACUAUUACAUUUUUAAAAGAAAUUUGAGUUCCAGAAAUAUCAGUCCAUCCAAGGUCAAGGUUUUCCUCGGAGACGUUAUCACAACAAAUGCAUGCUGAUUGCUUUGGGAAAUGAUUCCAAAGUUUCCUAGCUUUCAUAUUUCAAAAGUUGCUGCCUAAAAUACUGCCCAUAUGCACCUUUGAUGACUAAUGAUCGAAUACGCUCAUCAACAAGCAAAUCCACAGACUCCAUCUUAUCACGAGGGGUCAGAAUAAAAGCUGGAAACUUUUAUCGUUUAAAGAAGAGACACUGAAAUACGCACCCAUCUAUCCGGGCCUGACACUGACUGAAAAUACUAACCAUUUCCAUCCCGAGAGUCAGCAUGUGUGAUGCUCAAGAGUAAAACAUCUUCUUGCUGCUACUGAAUAUAAAAAAGGGCAACCGAGUUUUAAUCUGUCUGGAAAACAAGAAGUAAGUAUUUCCUCGGGCUCUUUGGUGACAUCCUGGGCAGAAUUCCAGUGUGCUCUCAAUUGGUCUCUGGCAAGAGCCCAUUCUCCCUUAAGCAUCCUUCUGCUACCUCUGGUGCACAGUCCCAAGCCUCUGCUCUGCAUGGCCUUCUUCAUCUUUUCCUACCAUUGACUCCCAAAGCCACAACGGAAAUGAUCUACCAGCGAGUGAUGGAGAGGACCUAAACAAAUGAUUAAUGACCUUGGACCAGCUGACAUAAAUCUAUUUAAAAAAAAAAAAAAAAAAGUCCAGCCACCCUGAUCUUGAUUUAAGCAUUUAGCUCUCUAGGGAAUUAAAAACAAAAAAAUAGCUGGGUCUAAGUCAAGAAUAAGAAAAGCACAACAGGGCUGCAGAGAUGGUUCAGCCGUUAAAGGUUAGGCUCACAACCAAAAAUAUAAGAAAAGCACAAUGUACGUCUAGAAUAGCUCACUAUACCAGCAAGAAGAAGGACGCUCCAACAGCGUGCAGAUGUGACUAAAUUACACUGGAGCUGGUUGGAAGGGGCACUUCCUGGCCAAAUGCAGGACAGCUUGAACAAUGUAAAAGAGUAAUAUUGGACCAGCAAGAUGGCUCAAGAGGGAAAGGCACUGACACCCUGAGAUUGAGUCCCAGAACCCCCAUAAGGGUAGAAGGAGAAAAAUGACUGCAUAAAAUUGUUAUCUGUCCUACACACAGUCACAGACAGACACACACACACAUAAACACACACACAUACACAUGGUACUGAUGAAUUAUAAUGCAUCAACACACACCACACACACACACACACACAGACAUACACACACACAAUAAAAUCCCCAUCUUGUCACCAGCAACGCAGCAUGUGAUUAGGCAGCCAAGGAUCAUGAAUAAAUGCUAAAACUGUUAGAGAAAGACUACUCAGAACACAGUUCUCACAGUCCAAAGAACCACUCCACAAGGUUGCCUAUCUCUUUCCCAGGGGAAAUGUGUCCCUACGAUGGAGACCUCUGGAAGAUCACCUCAUCCAAGUGAGGCUUGGCAUAAUCAAUCAGAAGAUCAACGCUGUACCAAUGUGUUUAUUUACCUGAAAUCUUAAGGUAACAGUGAAACAAUAAGACUGUGACUCCUUCUAUCAGAUGAAUGUACUUCCUCAUGCUGCGACCCUUUAAUACAAUUCCUCAUGCUAUAGUGACCCCUAACCAUAGAAUUAAUUCAUUGCUACUUCAUAACUGUAAUUUUGCUACUGUUACAGAUCAUAAAGUAAAUAUCUGUGUUUUCCAAUGGUCUUAGGUGACCACUAAUGGUCAGGUGAAAGGGCCACCUGACCCCCAAAGGGGUCACAGACAAUAAAAACUAAACAAACUUAGGGUGACUACUCUAGAUUAAAGGAAACUAAAGAGACAACAUGCAAUGAAGGCUCGUGGCUGUGUCCUGAUAUGGAUAAGGUGUUAGAAGCCUUAAUGAGAUAAUUAGAGAGAUUUUAAUAGGUGUUCAAGUAUUAUCUAUUAGUAGUGAUGAGGUAUUAUGGGUCACUUGGGAGAAUAGCUUCCUGCAUGGGUGAUAUAGAUCAAAGUUUUGAAGGCUAGAGGGCCAUGACCUCUACAACUAAUUCAGUCCUUCAGAAUCCGUCUCUGACAUUUUGAAUAUAUAUGAGGAGAAAGAGAUGUGAAAGAGAUACUGACAGAGAUACCAAAAAAAUGAGAAGGAAAUACAAAGUAAAUUUGACAAAAUAUUAGCAUACUAUGUGGCAGGUUAGUUGCAACCUAUAAAAGCCAGUAACCAUGGUAACUGUACUGUAUCCCCACACUGCAUAAAGUAAGAUUAUAAUGGAGGUCAUGGAUGAAAGGAAACUGACAUAAACAGACGUGUGAUGUCUCCUGUGUUAGAGCAAUUACUCCUUUUUUAAAAAAAAAAAAAUCUUAACUCUGUUCUGAUGCAAUAGUUGAACCCUGUGGAAGAAAAGAAAUUCAAGGGAAAAAAAAAAAAACAGCAGAUGAAAAUCAGUCACAGAAUACCUCAGUUUAACCUCAGUUUAUCUCCACACAUGAUGAAGCGUCAGCAAGCCUUAAGAUCUUAAAAAUUCUUCAUUCUUGUAAAUGAGCUAAAUACCUAAUAAAAAAUUAAAAAAAAAAUUCUUCAUUCUGUACUCUUUUUGUGGUGAAUCCUGUAUAUACAUGGACACUUGCAAUAAACCUUCUAAAGAGUCCUAUCCUAUAGGGAUUGGACACACCUAGCCAUGGAAGGCAGGCAACUUCACUCUGUGCCCACCCUUGAAUGAGCAUGGAAUAAGGGUGAGCACCCACAAAACACCUGGUGUAAGCAAACAUGUACCCCAGUUCCACAGCUUCGAGUAGUUAUUUAGAACCCAGCAUACCUGAAACAGAAUUUAUCCCACCAGACAAGAUGCCUGUUUUCCUCGAUCCCUAGCCAAUCUGACCUCAAAACUGCAGCAUCUCCCUCCAUUCUCUUCCCAGUGAUUCAUCUCGUCCACCUCCUCUGCACAUAGGCUAUUCAGCAUCAAACAUCCCAGAUCAUUUUCUUCAGUAUCUUCCCAUCUUUGGAACCUCUGGAAGGCCUUUGCCACACAGCAGUGACUGCACACUCCCCAAAAACCUAAAUGUGUUUGUUAUGCUGCCCCACUUUAAAAAGAAAAGCACCAUAAUUUUGUAAAAUAAAGUUUGUUAUCAUUUUCUACCUAUCCCAGAAGAGAGAGGAUCAGUCAGUAACUUGGAAAUAAGCUUGUUCAAGGACACUGAAUUAUGGGGCUGGUAUUCAGCCCAUGAUCUUCUGCUUACAUCCUCUCACCGACACGUGUUGUAUUGUUUAUACUUUAUUACAGUCUUGUGUCCUUACACUCAGCACAAGGUCUUCCAGAAGGAAAAAGGCAGGGGAUGCAUCCGACCCAUCUCCGUGCUCUCUCAGAACCUAGCGGCAGUAAUAACUCAGGCGCAUUGAUUUCUGCUUUGAGGUGUCACCCAGAGACCAUCUUUCUUUCUGCUCUUCAUCCUCGCUCAGCCAAUAGUCUCCUUCCUCUUUGCUCUUCACACAUUUCUACUGCAGUAUAUGUUGAGUGGCUGGCCCUGGCUGUGGGGCACGUAGUAGGCACUUUAAAAUGUUUAUGAAUGAAAUGACUGCCUGUGAGACAGCCAAGUUUCUCUCUAAAGCAACUUGUUUGUUUGUUUUAAUGACUUUACUUUUAUCUUCGUCACAUACUGAAGGCUAUCUCAAGAAACAGUGACAGAGAACAUAAAGACCUGAGCACCGAAUUUGGCUGUCGGGGUCUCUAUUCAUCUGCUUCCCUAGGUGAUGAAUUCUAGAGCGGCACCCCCAAAUUUUAGUGACAUGUAAACACAAUGCAGUCAAGUUAGGAUUCAGAGUGUCUGUGUUAGAAUCCAAGACUGCAUUUCUUUUUGUUUGGUUGGGUUUUUUUUUGUUUGUUUGUUUGUUUAUUUUGUUCUGCUUAAAAAAAAAAAAAAAAAGACUGCAUUUCUAACAACCUCCCAAGACGCGCUAAUGCUAUUGAGCAUGACCUGGAGUCUAAGAAGGCAGCACACAGAUUAAAAAAUGUUAAUGUCAUUGUCUCUGGAUUCCUUCUCCUGCUCUUCUAGAAUUUUCAAGUAACUCUGUGAUGACUUGUGCUACCGGAAAUAAAAUAUUUAAACGCUAAACAUACACAUGCCAGAGCAAAAGUUGUAUGUUUGGACAUUUCCAUUCAGCAAGGCAACCUCUUUAUUUAAGGAUGUUAAAAAGACUAAAGAGACAAUAUUGAUAUAUUUAGUAAUUCCCCUCUCUUCUCAUUUGAACAGGGAAAGUAAAAGAAAACAGUAAUUACCCUCAACAUACAGAGUUACGGUGUACAAGCAUUGCUUUUCUUGGGUUCCCUGGGAAGAGAGAGAUAACAGGAGAAUCCACUCAGUUGGAAUACAAUAAGGAAAGACAAUGGAAAUUAAGGACAGAAAAGAAAGCAGCCAGGUGCUAUGCUGAGCCUCUUCCAAGUGAGUCAACAGAACCCCACGGCAGUAGAAACAAAGCGUUCUUCUCACAGUGAGCUGAGUUCUGCAACAAGACUCCAUGGGGUAAAUUAAGGAAGAGUUCGCUGCACAUCUGCACAGAAGAAAGAGGGAAAUGUUCCUAAGAGUGCCACUCCUCUCUGUAGUGCGACCAAAGCAUUUCAUAGGGAACCAUGCCAAAGUGUGCAGCCCUCUCCUGGGGUCCCAGCGGGAGCUUCUUACAGUCUGUGGGUUGUAGCCCAGGCAGCCCCAGCGGGUAGGCAUCCCCCGACAGCUACUCCAGACACUUUCAGAUUUCAGGUGUCUAUGGUCCAGCAAGAGCUAGAGCGGGAAGAAGCCCUAGCGGCUCACAGUAUACCAGGGACUCUUCGAGUUAAAAGCAAAGCACCCUAGUCAGCUCUUAACUCUCUUCUCACUUCCAGGUAAGGCUACCACGCAGGCUUUGUGUAUUCAAACUAGGAUUCCACCCACAGUCCUCUCUUUACUUUAUUUUUUUUUAUUUUUAUUUUAUUUUAAUUUUUUUUUUUUUUUUUGGCCUUAAAGGAAAAUUGUGAAACUCGCUGUGAAACUCCACCCUAAGGAUUAAAACCAAGACUUAUAUAAGGCUUGCAAAUGCAGCGGAGCCACAAAUCAUGUCUGUGGUGUCUACUCAGUGCUAUUCAGGAUGUGGUUUCCUAUCUGGGAAGCUGAGACCCAGGGGACGUGGGCUCAACAGAAAACAAUGCGUCACUGUACACCGAAUUCUGAGUCUGGCUUCUUAUCUAAAAUAAGGAAGCAUUUGUCGAGCUGGGCAAAUGUGAUCACUUGAGAUUUCAAAACCAGCUUCAGGCAUCACCCCGAGAGGGGGAAAGUCAGGAUUCAUUUGGACUUUACCCAUUUAUUUUAUUGAAAUGUGCAUUGUUUUUUGUUUGUUUGUUUGUUUGGUUGGUUGGUUGGUUUUUGUUUUUUUUUUUUUUUUAAAUCACACUACAAUAGAGAGGGGUGGUGCGAGGGACUGCCACAACCUCCCUAUGCUCCGGAGCCUCAGGCCUUCCUUGCUAUCUCACUUGCAAGCUAAACAGACGUCAGUGCUGAUGAGAAAGCACAAUGAGACACACGGUCCUCUGCCCAGAUUCUAAUUUAAAAUUAUUUCAAGAUAUUAAAAGAGAUUAUAUUUGGCGACUCUCACUAUGAACAAAUACUAAGUAGCAUUUAGGAGCCAGCAUUAAUGUUGUUGGGAAUGAUAAUGGUACUGUUUCUAAAUAAUGCUGUUUCUUUAUUUUGGAUGUUGUAGAUGUAUAAUUUGCUUCAAAACAGCUUGUCAAAACUAUAAUGAUGUGUGUGUGUAUACAUAUAUAUAUAUUUAUAUUUAUAUAUUUGUAUUUAGCUCAGGAAAAUAGGGAAGAAUACUAAUAACGAUGGAAAUAAGAUGGGGGUUAUCCAGGGAAACUUCCUUGCUUUUCCUAUGUUGCUGUGUGUCAAGCAAGAGUUGUUUCAUGUGAGGAGAGAAAGCAGGAAGUGAAACAGGGCAGAUCUGACUUGCAGUCAAACCUAGAGACAUGUGAACAGAGCAGGGACUUGCUGUCAGUCCACAAAUUCACAACACAUGUGCCACAGUACUGUAAGAUGUUAAUAACAGGGGGACCGAGGCAGAGAACUACACGGGAACUCUCUGCGCUGCCUCCCUCCUUUCUGUAAACCUAAAAGUCCAUUUCUAAAAGACUAAAAAGAAGGAAUACAGAUCUGCUUGUGGGUUGGCUUUGUUUUUGGAAACAGGGGUCUCACACAGCUAAAAGCAAAUAGGGAAGAAUGGAAACAAUGCAGAGAGGACGACUGGCUGGGAAAUUGCCGCCAUUCUUCUUUGUAUGUCAUGCAACAUCUGUUCCAUGUGAUGGCAGAAGAAGGUUCAGGCCAGCCUUCAACUCCUGAUCCUUUUGCCUGGGACUCUGAGGUGAUGGGGCUAGAGACAAGUUCCACCACACCCGUGGGGUCAAUAUUCUUGCUGUUGUCAUAAAUUACCUCUUAAGACUUAUUACAUAACAGCCAGUCAUUUUAGCAAAUGGUUUGAAUAAGAACACAGGAAUGGGGGGUGUAUCUGGGGAGCACACUUCUCCUAGGCUCUUCGGUGGAAUGUAUGAUGUGGAGUUUCCAAACUUACUCUUCCCUACCUUGCUAACCCUCCCCUCACAGAACCUUCAGACACUUCAGGCUUCAAGCCCUCCAGUGAUUUCACUAGGAUCCUGGUCUCCUCCUCUACAUCAAGUGGCAGAGAGACUAUAGGAACUCUAACAGCAAAAUGAACAGACCACCCCAAGUCCCCAGGUCUGUGAUCUCAAGCCUAGAACUUCAAGAAUCUAAAUGUUAAUAUAUCCCAGAAACUGCCAUGCUCCGGGGAGGCUUGAGGCCGGCUCCAAUGCAGCACAUGCAUGUGUGUACUGCAAACUCAGUCAAAAGCUCAAGGCUGUGGAAUUCACAGGCCAGUGCAGGAGCUACUGCUGUUGUUUUCCUAGAUGGAUGUGAUGUGCUGAUCACAUGACCUUCUAAAUAAUUUUUGUGCCCAUAGGUCAGUGCUCCUGUCAGCUGUCAUCAAAGGAGGUCAUCAAAGGCGCUGUCAUCAAAUCAAAACUAGGAUAUCAGUAUCACCCCCCAUCACAGAGCAGGCAACAUGGUGGAACUGGGUUGUAAAAAGAAAACGGAGAACCAGAGGAGGUGGUGGACUGUGGUGGAACACUGUUUUCUGGGCGUGACAUGGCUGCUGCCUUCUUGAACUCACGGAAGCUGUAGUUAUCCACACAAGAUGAGACCCAACAGUGUCACGUAAUGGAAGAGGGAGAGCCCGUGAGGCAGGAAUAGUUGAUGAGGGAGGGAGAGAGAUUUCAGUAUAGCCACUGCCUAUAGAUCCUAUAACAACUCUAAUAAAUUCAUGUUGCCAUUUUAUAAGAAAGAGAGAGAGAGAGAGAGAGAGAGAGAGAGAAAUAGAGAGAAAGAAAGAAGAGGGGAGGGGAGGGGAGGGGAGGGGAGGGGAGGGGAGGGGAGAGGAGAGGAGAGGAGAGGAGAGGAGAGGAGAGGAGAGGAGAGGAGAGGAGAGGAGAGGAGAGGAGAGGAGAGGAGGAGAGGAGAGAGGGGUGCGCAUGCUGUGAAUGAAGAAGGAAUGAAUCAACAAGAGGAGCAAGAGAAAAGAAAGGGUAACAGGAAAUAAAUACAAUCAAAAUAUUUUAUAGACACGUGUGAAAUGCUAAUGAACUCAGUGUUACAUGUAAUUAGUUUAUGGUAUUGGAAAACACCUUCUUUCUUUUUAAAAGAAAGGCAAUUCGGUCCUUCAGAUGUCCUGUCCCAACAUCCUUCUCUCUCUGUCUGUCUGUCUAUCUGUCUGUCUGUCUGUCUGUCUGCAGGAUAUUAUUCUCUGGAAGAUUUCAGUGAGAUCCCUAGGCUUCCUCCUAGAAUGAGCUUCCUAGGUGAGGCUAGCCUAAUAAAAUCACUGUGAUUGACAGCGAUUCUUCCUGAGACCAAAAUCCUGGGAACUGAGAGCUGAGCCACAAAAACACACUCAUAUUUCCCAUGAGAUGCCAUUUGAAAAUGCAAAUGACCAAGGGAAAUAAAAACACUGGAGCAUUUCCUGUGUGGGGGAGGGGGGCUCAUAAAAGCAUGGAUAUGAGUGGGGAAGAACUGAGCCCUGUGAACUGGAGUCAGCCACAGAUCCCACUCAGCCCCGGCUGCUGUCCUUGCCUCCUCUCGGAUCCUUUGAGGCCUGGCUGCAAGUCGGCUGUGGUUUGUUCUCUCCAACCACAAAGACCGGAUCCCUCUCCAUAAUGUCUGCCGUCCACAUAGUCUUUGAGUUCCGACGGGGUUGCAUGCUAAGCUCAGCAUGCUAGGCUGAGGAUACAUUUAACUGGGUGUCAGGGCUUAGCCAACACCCAUGCUGUGGUAUAUAUGGGGCACAUCCUCUUGUGCGUAGCUGGGAGCUGCAACUCCCUGAUGCUCAGCAGCAUUAUGUGAGAGUAUCCCAGGAUACAGUGCUCCAGGGCAAAGAUCCAAAUUCAAAACUUAAUGUACAGUUUGCAUAGAAUGCAUAUUUUUUUUGUACUACGGUAAAAUUAAAACAAAGCAAACCCAAAAAACCUAUUGAGCUGAAUUACUGUAGUCAGGGACCCGUUGUGUUCACUGCAUCCCUGGGUCUUGGUUCUCUGCUCAGGCCACACACAGUUCAUAUAAUCCAUCUAGAACAGAAGUUUGUAAAUCAGCCCUCUAAGCUAACCCCAGUGCCACAGGUAUGGUAGGAGGAGGUUCCAUAGACCUUAAGGCUCACCACCACAUGGAUACCCUGUGAGUCUGACCCACAGACAAAAAUAAAAACAAUUACAACAGAAACAUACACCACUCUGACUCCACAAAACUUACGGGAAACUCAACAGGGGACUCUUUCCCUUGGCUCUAAAGGAGCACAGAUCAUGUUUACGAUUCCUACCAUGACUAGUAAACACAGAAAAAGAGAAAGAGGGUUUUUUUUUACCAGAGGUCUGUAAGCAGGCCGCCAAAUUGGGGCCCAAACCAAUAUGACAAUGUGCCAUAGUUCCCGCUUUAUGGACACAUUUCAGAAGAGGUGGGAAGUGAGUUUUGCCAUCCAACCAAUUACGUUCUUUCAAAGGCACUAUACUAUCAUCUACAGAAGAAGGCCUGAAGUUGGCUCUGGUACGUUCCCUUCUGCAAACUCACAGGCUAAACUAAUUGUUUGGUUACUCAAAUCUUCUAAUCUUGAGAUCUAAUGGAAAAUCAAGUAUGUUCAAAAGAUCAAAGGAUUAAAAAAAAAAAAAAAAGCCUCAGCUCUAGCUCUAGUACAAACUGUAAAGCUGCCAUCUAUUUUCAGAAAUUGGCUAAACUGGGUGCUGACUGAGCAGCACAGUCCAUCACAGACAUUGUCCAGAGAGUCAGUUUCCUGAACAGGAUCUCCAUGUCUUGGGAAUUUUACUAUGGCCAGGGGCAAAACACACCAAAGCCACUUGGAUUGAAGUAGCUAAAAGUCAGCCCUUGCUCUGUUGCUUUGUAACCAGAAAAGCCAAGCCCAACACAGGUUUUAGAUUUCUCGCUCACCAGCAGUGUUGUUCCUUCUGUGCCCGCCAUAAAAGGCACUGUGUUUCAAAGAGAGGAGUGUAACUCUACCGUCGGUAACACAUGUGUUCUGAAUUAAUCAGGAAUGAAAGUGGGCUAUG
This is a long non-coding RNA of Mus musculus (house mouse), 21567 nucleotides long. RefSeq annotates it as predicted gene, 52775. Lineage: Eukaryota; Metazoa; Chordata; Mammalia; Rodentia; Muridae. The record is from RefSeq and is a predicted model, not a curated record. The transcript is spliced from 4 exons.